This 382-nucleotide long non-coding RNA is filed under the name Sus scrofa (pig). RNAcentral's name for it is "lncRNA (ENSSSCG00035056662.1)". Lineage: Eukaryota; Metazoa; Chordata; Mammalia; Artiodactyla; Suidae. The record is from RNAcentral.
CUCGGGCUGUCCGUCAACCCACAGCCCAGAGAGGACCCGGUGCCCCCCUCCAGCCACAGGUGGGGGUGGACACUGCUCUGAUGGGGCGAGCACCUGUCUCAGCUUCCAGAUCCAGACUCACAGCCACGCUGCCAAUUCCUGUCUGUGCAAAACAGGACACAGAGCCAUUGAGGAAACAGCCCUGCAGGGCCAGGAGAGAAGCACCAGGCUCUGGAUAAACACUCCGGGUGCCUGCUCCUCGGCACCGAGAUGAGGCCGCAGAGAUGAGGGGCAGCGGGUGAGUCCCGGGCGCGGCCGUUUCUUUUAAAAACGCAGGUACUCACCCCCUCUGGUGGCAGUCGCCGGAAUUGCAGGCACAGCCUCCACGUGGUCAGGCUCCUCC